GCCGUUCUAGUAUAGUGGCUAGUACUCAUCGUUGUGGCCGAUGCAACCCAGGUUCGAUUCCUGGGAACGGCA
Transfer RNA from Brettanomyces bruxellensis AWRI1499, 72 nucleotides. It matches the Rfam family "tRNA". From Rfam's summary of the family: Transfer RNA (tRNA) molecules are approximately 80 nucleotides in length. Lineage: Eukaryota; Fungi; Ascomycota; Pichiomycetes; Pichiales; Pichiaceae. The record is from Rfam.